This 72-nucleotide transfer RNA is filed under the name Sarcophilus harrisii (Tasmanian devil). It matches the Rfam family "tRNA". From Rfam's summary of the family: Transfer RNA (tRNA) molecules are approximately 80 nucleotides in length. Their secondary structure includes four short double-helical elements and three loops (D, anti-codon, and T loops). Further hydrogen bonds mediate the characteristic L-shaped molecular structure. tRNAs have two regions of fundamental functional importance: the anti-codon, which is responsible for specific mRNA codon recognition, and the 3' end, to which the tRNAs corresponding amino acid is attached (by aminoacyl-tRNA synthetases). tRNAs cope with the degeneracy of the genetic code in two manners: having more than one tRNA (with a specific anti-codon) for a particular amino acid; and 'wobble' base-pairing, i.e. permitting non-standard base-pairing at the 3rd anti-codon position. The record is from Rfam by way of RNAcentral. Lineage: Eukaryota; Metazoa; Chordata; Mammalia; Dasyuromorphia; Dasyuridae.
AUUAAUUUAGUAUAGUAGAAAGCACAUUGGAUUUGGAAUCAAAAGACCUGGGUUCAUAACCCAGAUUUACUA